AAAUUCUCUUAGUAGAAAGUAUGCUUUAAUUCUUCGGAACUCCAAAUAAAUAUAUCUGCACAUACAAAAACCAGUUCUAUUUAUUAUAUCACAUAUUAAAGUUUUGAUAAACCAAAUUAGAAAUCUAAACUUUUUAUCAUCAUCAUAAACAAUUAUCUAACCUUCUAUAGGGUGGGAACACGAUCUAGCCUUUCUCCUUUUUUUCACCUCUUUUUAGCUUUACUAUUAUAUGGUCUUUGGACACUACAUGCAAUAUUCAAUGCUUCAAUUCCCACAACUCUCUAGCUCAUAAGUUGCACAAUGAACUAGCUUUCUAUUUUUGAUUUUGUUAUUUUUAGUUUCUUCAAACAGUUUACAAUGAAUUAGUUAGUUGGCCUACUCUAAUCUACUACAUAUUAUUCCACCUCCUAUGGUCAGAUAAAGUCACAAGAUUACACUUUUGUCUUUGUUAGGGACCAAAAUUAAUCUAGUUUCCUUGGCUUCCACUUAAUUUCAUGCAUGCCCAUCAUCAAUGAACGGAUCCAUUUGUCCCCUUCUUGAGCAAAUAGAAAAAAACUAAUCAUUACUUUGUGUGUAUACGAGUUGUUUUUAUCUUUGCUUUGUCUUCUUAUACUCAGAGACUAGAGAUAGCCUCAUAGUUAUUAUUUUCUUUUAAUCUGUGAGUGGAGUAGAUUCUCUUACCUCCUCCUAAAGCAAGAAAAAAAUUAAUUAUUAUACUUUUGUGAUAUACAGUUUGUCUCCAUCCAAAAGCUAUAUACCAUGCAUAAUGAAGAGCACUUGAAUUUUACUUUAAGAUACCUAUUACUAAAAGACUAGCUAGAAGAGAGAGAGAGAGAGAGAAUUAAAAGAAGGUUAGGUUCCCUUUCAUAUAUAAGAAAAUGAAAAGAUGAAAAAAAGGUUAGGUUCCCUGCCAUAAAAAGCUUCACUUUGUUUCACUUUGUUCUCCAACUUUUAUAUUUUAUUCGAAUAAUCGAAUUUUUACAAUUCUUUAUUUUCAGUCCUUUGGUCUCUUAAUUAGGGGAGGUUUAUUUCAUAGAAAAGAGGGGGAUACAUUGUUUUCGACUAUAAAUAUUUAUUUUUGCUGCCUGGUUUGUUAUAAAUAACUUUGUUCAUAAUUUUACUUGUCCAAAAUAGCCAUAACUGACUUUAUCCUGGAUGGUGCCGAAGUCAAUUAUGGAAGAGAAGAUAAUAAUAGCAAAUUUACUAAUGUAAAUUUUUGUUACCUUCUUUUAUGAUAGUAUAGAAACUUUCAAUAAAAUAAACAAAAAAAGAAAUAAUUAACUACAGCCCCAAAAUCAUUGACUUUCUAUAAACAAGUAAUGUUGAAAAAAUAUUUUCCCCCCUCCCCCCCCCCCACCUUUAGUUCAAUUGAACAUCAUUUUCAGCCUGAAAAUUAUUAUGGAUGAACAAAUAGAUCUUAUUGUUAGAAGAUAAUUUAUUAGCUAGACCCAGUGCAUCCGUGCAUUACGCACUACAAAUGCAUCAAUUUAUCUCCAACUUUCAAUCCGAUCAUAGAAAAGAUAUAAACCCACUCAAAAGUAGGGUGGAGACUGAAGUGUUAAUUGUCAGAAGGGGGGCAUUGGAUUCAUAUAUAGUGGUACAAAUGCAGAGAUCCUAUAAGAAGUUCCUUCACUAAUAGUAAAUUUGGCAAAAGAUUAAAAUCAAAUUUCUUCAAAACUUCAGUGUUGAAUAUCCAACUUACCAGUCUGUUUGGCAUCAAAUUUAAAUAAAAUUCAGUGGAGUUCAGUUGAGACAAAAUUUAGAGAUAAAGUAAUUUGUCUGGGUUUAAACGAAGUUCAACUAGUUGUAUUCCGCUUUAUUUUUUGGUAAAAGAUGAAAAAUUAGUUCAAUUUAAUUAUUUUUUCCAUUCUAUCCUCAGAUGAAUAGUAAGGAAGAUUUUCUUUUUUUUUUA
RNAcentral lists this long non-coding RNA (1912 nucleotides) under Ananas comosus (pineapple). RNAcentral describes it as "long non-coding RNA (ACOM_LNC028040)". The record is from RNAcentral. Lineage: Eukaryota; Viridiplantae; Streptophyta; Magnoliopsida; Poales; Bromeliaceae.